UAAGUGUAUAGGUAUUAGACUUGUUUUUCUACAUAUAUGUGAAUUUUAAGAUCAAUUAAAUAGUGUAAAAAAGAGAUAUUAGCAUUAAAAAAUUAGCAUAUAGGUCGUCCAAUAUCUAAACUGAUUUUAGGUUUUUUCAUUUAAUAAGUGCAAUUAUCUUCAAAUUUGUUAUAUUUUUUUUUCAACUAAGAAAUUGAAAGGAGUAUAAAGUUUUAAGCAAGAUCAAUGAUUUAAUCAAUAAAUAUUGAGGUUCUAAUCUACUUUAGGAUUGAUUUGAAUUGAUUAAGUUUUGGUUAGGAUUUUAUUUAAAAUUUAGGAUUUGGCUAGGAUUUGAUUUAAGAUUUAGGAUUUAUUUAAGAUUUUAUUUAGGAUUUAGGAUUUAAGAUUUUUUUAAGAUUUAGUUUAGUAUUUAGAAUUUAAU
This 421-nucleotide long non-coding RNA is filed under the name Physcomitrium patens. RNAcentral describes it as "long non-coding RNA (PPAT_LNC001348)". Lineage: Eukaryota; Viridiplantae; Streptophyta; Bryopsida; Funariales; Funariaceae. The record is from RNAcentral.